Molecule: ribosomal RNA, 402 nt
Filed under: uncultured prokaryote
Description: bacterial SSU rRNA
Rfam family: Bacterial small subunit ribosomal RNA
Source: RNAcentral
UAGGGAAUAUUAGUAAUGGGCGCAAGCCUGAACUAGCAACACCGCGUGUGCGAAGAAGGCCUUCGGAUUGUAAAGCACUUUUUGAGAGGAUGAGGAAGGACGGUACUCUCAGAAUAAGUCUCGGCUAACUACGUGCCAGCAGCCGCGGUAACACGUAGGAGGCAAACGUUAUCCGGAUUUACUGGGCGUAAAGCGCGGGUAGGUGGUUUGGUAAGUAGAGCGUGAAAGCUCCUGGCUCAACUGGGAGAGGUCGUUCUAAACUGCCGGACUAGAGGAUGGUAGAGGGAGGUGGAAUUCCGGGUGUAGCGGUGGAAUGCGCAGAUAUCCGGAGGAACACCAGUGGCGAAAGCGGCCUCCUGGACCACUCCUGACACUCAGACGCGAAAGCUAGGGUAGCAAACG